GAUGAACGCUGGCGGCGUGCUUAACACAUGCAAGUCGAGCGAACGGACGCGAAUCUUUCUUCGCUGAUGUUAGCAGCGGACGGGUGAGUCAUAAGUGGAUAACCUAUCUCUCAGACUGAGACAAGUUCGACAAACCGGAGCACAUACCGGAUACUAUUUUGACCCGCUUGGUUUAGAAGUGAAAGACGGUCUUGCUGUCACUUAUCGACGGAUCCGCGCGGCAUUAGCUUGUUGGUAAGCUAACGCCUUGCCAGGUCAACGAUGGACAGCCGACCCGAGCGGGGGGUCGCCCACACGGGAGCGGGGCCACGGUCCAGAGGACUACGGGAGGCAGCAGUAGCGAACCGGCCGCAAUGGGCGAAAGUCUGACAGAGCAGCGCAACGUGAGUGAUGACGGGCUUCGGAUCGUAAAACCCUGUUAUUAGUGAAAAACCUAUGUGAAAGGGACUGAGCCCAUAGUGACGGUACCUAAUCAGAAAGCCACGGCUAACUACGUG
RNAcentral lists this ribosomal RNA (497 nucleotides) under uncultured bacterium. RNAcentral's name for it is "partial 16S ribosomal RNA". It matches the Rfam family "Bacterial small subunit ribosomal RNA", at positions 28 to 507 of the family's 1533-position model. The record is from RNAcentral.